This 253-nucleotide ribosomal RNA is filed under the name uncultured bacterium. RNAcentral describes it as "partial 16S ribosomal RNA". It matches the Rfam family "Bacterial small subunit ribosomal RNA", at positions 524 to 776 of the family's 1533-position model. The record is from RNAcentral.
GACGAACCGUGCGAACGUUGUUCGGAUUCACUGGGCUUAAAGGGCGCGUAGGCGGGCAGCACAGUCGGGGGUGAAAUCUUUCAGCUUAACUGGAAAAUAGCCCCCGAUACUAGCUGCCUCGAGGGAGGUAGGGGCACGCGGAACUUCCGGUGGAGCGGUGAAAUGCGUAGAUAUCGGAAGGAACGCCGGUGGCGAAAGCGGCGUGCUGGGCCUUUCCUGACGCUGAGGCGCGAAAGCCAGGGGAGCGAACGGG